RNAcentral lists this ribosomal RNA (208 nucleotides) under Neoponera apicalis. RNAcentral's name for it is "partial large subunit ribosomal RNA". The record is from RNAcentral. Lineage: Eukaryota; Metazoa; Arthropoda; Insecta; Hymenoptera; Formicidae.
GAAUUUAAUAUAAUUUUUUUAUAAAUUAGUAUAAUUAUUAUAUUUAAUUGGGGGGAUUAUUAAAUUUAAAAAACUUUAAUAUAAAAAAAACUUUGAUUAAAGAAAAUAUUUUUUUUAAUAAUGAGUAAUUUGAAUUAUUUAAGAAUUAAUUACCUUAGGGAUAACAGCAUAAUAAUUUUUUUUAGAUCUUAUAUAAAAAAUUGUUUAU